Molecule: ribosomal RNA, 253 nt
Filed under: uncultured bacterium
Lineage: Bacteria
Description: partial 16S ribosomal RNA
Rfam family: Bacterial small subunit ribosomal RNA
Source: RNAcentral
UACGUAGGGUGCGAGCGUUAUUCGGAAUUACUGGGCGUAAAGCGUGCGCAGGCGGUUCUCCAAGUCCGGUGUGAAAGCCCCGGGCUCAACCUGGGAAUGGCAGUGGAAACUAGGGGACUGGAAUCUGGCAGAGGGGGGUGGAAUGCCGCGUGUAGCAGUGAAAUGCGUAGAGAUGCGGCGGAACACCGAUGGCGAAGGCAGCCCCCUGGGCUGAGAUUGACGCUCAGGCACGAAAGCGUGGGGAGCAAACAGG